Parus major (Great Tit) is the source of this 787-nucleotide long non-coding RNA. RefSeq lists it as uncharacterized. Lineage: Eukaryota; Metazoa; Chordata; Aves; Passeriformes; Paridae. The transcript is spliced from 3 exons. The record is from RefSeq and is a predicted model, not a curated record.
UUUUGAGUUAAUUGACGCUGCUGGAUUUAGGUAUCAGGACCAUUUACCUACCUGGCUGAUGGACCUUGGAGAAACAGAGAAGAGUACCUGAAAAAAGGUGUCAUCACUGAGGGCUGUGCACAUUGCAGAGGAGGGAAAUACUGUGUGGAUUGCUUUGGGAUACUGAAGAGGAACCAGGCAAAGAGAGCUCAAAACUGUAGCAGCAGUGUCAACAUGUGCUGAGCAAGGCAGGCUGGAUGAGCCAGAGGAAAAGCUCAAGGGUUAUUCUUCACCUCACUGUGUCUGUAUUUUGGAGAGGCUGUUGACAAACUACAGACCUGAUGUAGGAGGUGCAGGAUUGUUCUUCUCAUCUUCAGCCUCUUGGACUGCAGUGUUUGAGUACAGAGAUUUCCCAGGAAGGAAAGCCUGCAGUGUCACAAAUACUCAACAAGGGCACACAAUUAAGAGUCUUUGCUGUUAGUUAGACUUGCCAUUGAAAUGAGGGCUAGUAUUCUUAACACUGAGCAAAAUUCUGCUUUUAUGGACACUUUUGCCUGUUUUGCUGAUACUAAAUGGAUAUUUGGAUAUGUCAAGUGAUGAGAUAAACACAGGAGAGUUUGCUACUGCUGCUUUUUAUUGUUUCAUAAUGGAUGUUCCUCACUCUUAAAAAGGCACUGCGCAGCAAAAAUUUAUUUACUUGCCACAUUGUGUGCUUUAAACUGGCUUAGAAACAACUUCAGAAACUGGAUACAAACCAGAAUAUGUUUUUUUUAAAAUGUCUUAUUCUUUCUCCCUUCUUCUCAUUAGA